Colossoma macropomum (tambaqui) is the source of this 765-nucleotide long non-coding RNA. RefSeq lists it as uncharacterized. Lineage: Eukaryota; Metazoa; Chordata; Actinopteri; Characiformes; Serrasalmidae. The record is from RefSeq and is a predicted model, not a curated record. The transcript has 3 exons.
UACAUGACUCACAGUUUGAUGGCUUUGUUUGUUUGUUUUUUCACGAGUCACAUGGGGACACAAAAGCUUCUCAUUAUCCCAGGGCAAAAGGACGUGGCGAUUGACCCAGUAAGCUUGCAGGACCUGGAGGUGUGAGCUGAUCUGAGCUGUAGUGCGGCUCAGCUGCGGCACGUUCAAGGCCAUGGACACUCUUACGCUCAGAGGGCCGGCACUCGGAGGACUGUGAGAAACUAGCAGGCCUAAGCUGACAGUAAGAAGGAUCCGCUUUCCUCCUUUCUGCCCCCACAUAACCCCCCUGCAGUGGAAGGGAAGAAAUCAGCCUUGAAAAAAGCUCAGAAAGAGAGGAACUACAUUCACUGCAGUGGUAUAACCUGCUGUGUGUUUGAACGGAUCUAACUGGACUCGAGUCGUGUGGGCAGCAUGUGGCUUUUCUGUAAUGAGUGAACUCGUAACUCAUACAGGCUACUUUGUUUACCGGACACAUUGCCGGACCUUUAAUCUGCCGGACCUUCAGUCUGCCGGACACGCUGCCCGCUUUGUCAGAGUGAUUAUUAGUUAUCAGUCCUGAUUGAUCUCUGAUGAUUUCAGCGCGGUGAGUCCAGCGCUGUCCUACUUUCCUCUCCGCCGAGUCUGUGGAAGUUCCCCCACCCGCUUUCCGCCUCCUGCGCUUGGAUUGGCCAGCGCGGAUGAGCCAUUAGCCAAUCGCAGCGCAGGUGGCGGGAUGUUUCCAUUCAGUCCGCGCGCUGGAGGCGGAGCUCUGCCCAA